AGCGUUGAUUGUCGAAUCGAUACCGACGGCCUCGAUCACAAGAUCGGCUCGUUCCUUGUUGUC
RNAcentral lists this small RNA (63 nucleotides) under Sinorhizobium meliloti 2011. RNAcentral's name for it is "putative ncRNA". Lineage: Bacteria; Pseudomonadati; Pseudomonadota; Alphaproteobacteria; Hyphomicrobiales; Rhizobiaceae. The record is from RNAcentral.